UACAGAGGGGGACAGUGAUCUGGGAGAUUAGUUCCGUUAUCCCUCUGAUGUUGAUUCUUAUCUGUAUGUUUAUGUUGUUUUUUGCCUGUUUGAGCAUGUUUUAAUUUCUUUUGGAUACUCCCACUUU
Long non-coding RNA from Amblyraja radiata (thorny skate), 127 nucleotides. RefSeq lists it as uncharacterized. The transcript has 3 exons. The record is from RefSeq and is a predicted model, not a curated record. Lineage: Eukaryota; Metazoa; Chordata; Chondrichthyes; Rajiformes; Rajidae.